This 418-nucleotide ribosomal RNA is filed under the name uncultured Peptoniphilus sp. RNAcentral describes it as "bacterial SSU rRNA". It matches the Rfam family "Bacterial small subunit ribosomal RNA", at positions 69 to 497 of the family's 1533-position model. The record is from RNAcentral. Lineage: Bacteria; Bacillati; Bacillota; Tissierellia; Tissierellales; Peptoniphilaceae.
ACAGAACCCUUCGGGGCGAAGAUAAAGUGGAUUAGCGGCGGACGGGUGAGUAACACGUGAGUAACCUGCCUUAGACAUUGGGAUAGCCUCGGGAAACCGGGAUUAAUACCAAAUAAAAUCAUAAUGACACAUGUCAUAACGAUCAAAACUCCGGUGGUCUAAGAUGGACUCGCGUCCCAUUAGCUAGUUGGUAGAGUAAAAGCCUACCAAGGCGACGAUGGGUAGCCGGCCUGAGAGGGUGAACGGCCACAUUGGAACUGAGAAACGGUCCAAACUCCUACGGGAGGCAGCAGUGGGGAAUAUUGCACAAUGGAGGGAACUCUGAUGCAGCGACGCCGCGUGAACGAAGAAGGCUUUCGAGUCGUAAAGUUCUUUUAUAUGGGAAGAUAAUGACGGUACCAUAAGAAAAAGCCCCGGC